RNAcentral lists this ribosomal RNA (254 nucleotides) under uncultured bacterium. RNAcentral describes it as "partial 16S ribosomal RNA". It matches the Rfam family "Bacterial small subunit ribosomal RNA", at positions 524 to 776 of the family's 1533-position model. The record is from RNAcentral.
UACGUAGGGGGCGAGCGUUGUCCGAAGUUACUGGGCGUAAAGCGCGCGUAGGCGGGGGAUUAAGUGAGGGGUGAAAGGCUGGGGCUCAACCUCAUGCAGUGCCUCUCAUACUGGUUCUCUUGAGGGCGGUAGGGAGAAGUGGAAUGGCUGGUGUAGCGGUGAAAUGCGUAGAUAUCAGUCGGAACACCGGUGGCGAAGGCGGCUUCUUGGGCCGUUCCUGACGCUGAGGCGCGAAAGCUGGGGGAGCGAACGGG